RNAcentral lists this long non-coding RNA (538 nucleotides) under Callithrix jacchus (white-tufted-ear marmoset). RNAcentral's name for it is "lncRNA (ENSCJAG00000079519.1)". Lineage: Eukaryota; Metazoa; Chordata; Mammalia; Primates; Cebidae. The record is from RNAcentral.
CGCCCUCUCCAGGAAGUGGAACUGUAGAAUAUGUUGGAUGGAAUCUUUUGGCUUUGCUUCUCUAGCUGUCUACACUUCUGUCAGCACAUUUUAUAUUGAGCUCUGUGGUUUACCUUGCAAACCAGUACAUGGUAUUUAUGGGUAUGAGCCAGUUGCAGCAAAAGCAGAGGGCAUGUACUUGAUCUUCAUUUACUGUGAGGUAUUCUCUCUUGUUUCAGGUGAUAGUCUGGACAGUAGAGUGCCCUGUGUGCAGAGCUUCCUGUUCAGCAUGGGUGGGAGAACCCAGCUUGGUAGAACUGGACACCCUGGCUUGCCCAUGAAUAACUCAACGAUGAGCACAGGCUGGAAUGCAGUGGCAGGAUCUUGGCUCAUUGUAACCUCUGCCCUCAAGCUCCAACAGCACUCCCACCUCAGCUUCCCAAGUAGUUGGGACCACAGGUACCCAUCAUCAUGCCUAUUUUUUUUGUAUUUUUAGUGGAGAGAGGGCCUUGCCAUGUUGCCCAGGCUGGUCUCAAAUUCCUAAGCUCAACAAUCUGCU